This 394-nucleotide ribosomal RNA is filed under the name uncultured bacterium. Its description in RNAcentral is "bacterial SSU rRNA". It matches the Rfam family "Bacterial small subunit ribosomal RNA", at positions 28 to 424 of the family's 1533-position model. The record is from RNAcentral.
GACGAACGCUGGCGGCGUGCUUAACACAUGCAAGUCGAGCGGUAAGGCCCUUUCGGGGGUACGACGAGCGGCGAACGGGUGAGUAACACGUGGGUGACCUGCCCUCAGCUCUGGGAUAAGCCUGGGAAACCGGGUCUAAUACUGGAUAUGACUCCAUGACGCAUGUUGUGGGGUGGAAAGCCUUGUGCGGCUGAGGAUGGGCCCGCGGCCUAUCAGCUUGUUGGUGGGGUGAUGGCCUACCAAGGCGACGACGGGUAGCCGGCCUGAGAGGGCGACCGGCCACACUGGGACUGAGACACGGCCCAGACUCCUACGGGAGGCAGCAGUGGGGAAUCUUGCGCAAUGGGCGAAAGCCUGACGCAGCGACGCCGCGUGAGGGAUGACGGCCCUGGUU